CCUACGGGUGGCAGCAGUGGGGAAUAUUGGACAAUGGGGGGAACCCUGAUCCAGCGACGCCGCGUGAGUGAAGAAGUAUUUCGGUAUGUAAAGCUCUAUCAGCAGGGAAGAAAGAAAUGACGGUACCUGACUAAGAAGCCCCGGCUAACUACGUGCCAGCAGCCGCGGUAAUACGUAGGGGGCAAGCGUUAUCCGGAUUUACUGGGUGUAAAGGGAGCGUAGACGGCGAUGCAAGUCUGAAGUGAAAGGCGGGGGCCCAACCUCCGGACUGCUUUGGAAACUGUAUGGCUGGAGUGCGGGAGAGGUAAGUGGAAUUCCUAGUGUAGAGGUGAAAUGCGUAGAUAUUAGGAGGAACACCAGUGGCGAAGGCGGCUUACUGGACUGUAACUGACGUUGAGGCUCGAAAGCGUGUGGAGCAAACAGGAUUAGAUACCCGGGUAGUC
Molecule: ribosomal RNA, 443 nt
Filed under: uncultured bacterium
Lineage: Bacteria
Description: partial 16S ribosomal RNA
Rfam family: Bacterial small subunit ribosomal RNA
Source: RNAcentral